ACAAUUCUGGAGCAGUAUGUUG
Molecule: non-coding RNA, 22 nt
Filed under: Arabidopsis thaliana (thale cress)
Lineage: Eukaryota; Viridiplantae; Streptophyta; Magnoliopsida; Brassicales; Brassicaceae
Source: RNAcentral